Molecule: ribosomal RNA, 478 nt
Filed under: uncultured bacterium
Lineage: Bacteria
Description: partial 16S ribosomal RNA
Rfam family: Bacterial small subunit ribosomal RNA
Source: RNAcentral
GAUGAACGCUGGCGGCGUGCUUAACACAUGCAAGUCGAACGGGAAUUAUUUUAUUGAAACUUCGGUCGAUUUAAUUUAAUUCUAGUGGCGGACGGGUGAGUAACGCGUGGGUAACCUGCCUUAUACAGGGGGAUAACAGUCAGAAAUGGCUGCUAAUACCGCAUAAGCGCACAGAGCUGCAUGGCUCAGUGUGAACAACUCCGGUGGUAUAAGAUGGACCCGCGUUGGAUUAGCUGGUUGGUGGGGUAACGGCCCACCAAGGCGACGAUCCAUAGCCGGCCUGAGAGGGUGAACGGCCACAUUGGGACUGAGACACGGCCCAGACUCCUACGGGAGGCAGCAGUGGGGAAUAUUGCACAAUGGGGGAAACCCUGAUGCAGCGACGCCGCGUGAAGGAAGAAGUAUCUCGGUAUGUAAACUUCUAUCAGCAGGGAAGAUAGUGACGGUACCUGACUAAGAAGCCCCGGCUAACUACGUG